RNAcentral lists this long non-coding RNA (651 nucleotides) under Phascolarctos cinereus (koala). RNAcentral describes it as "lncRNA (ENSPCIG00000005979.2)". The record is from RNAcentral. Lineage: Eukaryota; Metazoa; Chordata; Mammalia; Diprotodontia; Phascolarctidae.
AUAUUUGGUGGCCUCAUGUGGAGAAGGAUAGUUAACAUUUCUAGUCAGCAGCUCCUUUGAACUAUGGAAGGAUGAUGAUGCUGGACUGAGAUGGUGAGGUCAGGUGUCAACAGAAAAUAGCUUUGACGUGGCCCCAGUGGAAUGUCUGAGGGAUGCAGGGCUGCAUCGGAUGGGCCUCGGCCUGCCUGGAUGAGUCAGCUGCAAAAUGUGGCCCCAAUGGGGGGGCUCAACUAUCCCAGGGAGCAGGUCCACCUGGUCCCCUGAUUCCCCAUCAGAAUGAAACUCCAGCCUGUAAACCCCAGAAUCCAUAUGGUAGAAUACCUGAUACCUCCUAAUGCAGUUACCUGAAAGUGACUUCUCACCUACCUGGAGCUCUGCCAAUCACCUGCCCCACCCCUGCUCAGACAGACACCCUAGAGCUGGGGAGGACAUGGUGAAGUGGAAAAAUCACUGGAGUUGGUAGAAGCUUAGCUCUGAUACUAAUUGGGCCAGUCAGCCUCUCUGAGCCUCAGUUUCCUGCUCUGAAUAAUGCAAAUAACAGCAUCAAUGUCCUCUUACUCAAGGGAUGGUUAUGGAAAAUAACACUUAAAGAGCAAAAGAAAUGUGUAGUAUUAUUAUUUCCCUGGACCUUGGGCAAAUGAUAAAUCAUCC